AGCGAACGCUGGCGGCAUGCUUAACACAUGCAAGUCGCACGGGGUGCUUUCGGGCACUUAGUGGCGGACGGGUGAGUAUCGCGUAGGGAUUUGUCGUUGGGUGGGGGAUAACCUUGGGAAACUGGGGCUAAUACCGCAUGACGCCUUUGGGCCAAAGCUCGUGAGGGUGCCUGAUGAGGAGCCUGCGUCCGAUUAGGUAGUUGGUUGGUUAUGGCUGACCAAGCCUGCGAUCGGAGCUGGUCUGAGAGGAUGAUCAGCCACACUGGGACGUGGGACACGGCCCAGACUCCUACGGGAGGCAGCAGUGGGGAAUAUUGACAAUGGGCGCAAGCCUGAUCCAGCAAUGCCGCGUGGAU
RNAcentral lists this ribosomal RNA (356 nucleotides) under uncultured bacterium. RNAcentral's name for it is "bacterial SSU rRNA". It matches the Rfam family "Bacterial small subunit ribosomal RNA", at positions 28 to 406 of the family's 1533-position model. The record is from RNAcentral.